UACGUAUGGAGCAAGCGUUAUCCGGAUUUACUGGGUGUAAAGGGAGCGCAGACGGCAGGGCAAGUCUGAUGUGAAAGUCCGGGGCUCAACCCCGGGACUGCAUUGGAAACUGUCCGGCUAGAGUGCAGGAGAGGUAAGUGGAAUUCCUAGUGUAGCGGUGAAAUGCGUAGAUAUUAGGAGGAACACCAGUGGCGAAGGCGGCUUACUGGACGGUAACUGACGUUGAGGCUCGAAAGCGUGGGGAGCAAACA
Molecule: ribosomal RNA, 251 nt
Filed under: uncultured bacterium
Lineage: Bacteria
Description: partial 16S ribosomal RNA
Rfam family: Bacterial small subunit ribosomal RNA
Source: RNAcentral